AUUCUAUACCCCAUUAUUUGCCCGACCCCUGUCUGCUCAGUUUUAGGUUGGGGUGACCACGGAGUAUAAAAUAACCUCCAUGAAGAAGGGGAUAUUUCCCUUAUUAGAGAACCACACUUCCAAGAACUAAUAAAUUAAUUUUCAAUGACCCGAUACCCGAUAAUCGAUCAACGAACCAAGUUACCCUGGGGAUAACAGCGCAAUCCACCCUGAAAGCCCUUAUUAACAGGUGGGUUUACGACCUCGAUGUUGGAUCAGGGUAUCCCAGUGGUGCAGCAGCUACUGAGGGUUCGUUUGUUCAACGAUUAA
This 309-nucleotide ribosomal RNA is filed under the name Boophis quasiboehmei. Its description in RNAcentral is "partial 16S ribosomal RNA". It matches the Rfam family "Bacterial large subunit ribosomal RNA", at positions 2219 to 2591 of the family's 2925-position model. Lineage: Eukaryota; Metazoa; Chordata; Amphibia; Anura; Mantellidae. The record is from RNAcentral.